This 2924-nucleotide ribosomal RNA is filed under the name Escherichia coli. RNAcentral's name for it is "23S ribosomal RNA". It matches the Rfam family "Bacterial large subunit ribosomal RNA". The record is from RNAcentral. Lineage: Bacteria; Pseudomonadati; Pseudomonadota; Gammaproteobacteria; Enterobacterales; Enterobacteriaceae.
GGGUUGUGAGGUUAAGCGACUAAGCGUACACGGUGGAUGCCCUGGCAGUCAGAGGCGAUGAAGGACGUGCUAAUCUGCGAUAAGCGUCGGUAAGGUGAUAUGAACCGUUAUAACCGGCGAUUUCCGAAUGGGGAAACCCAGUGUGAUUCGUCACACUAUCAUUAACUGAAUCCAUAGGUUAAUGAGGCGAACCGGGGGAACUGAAACAUCUAAGUACCCCGAGGAAAAGAAAUCAACCGAGAUUCCCCCAGUAGCGGCGAGCGAACGGGGAGGAGCCCAGAGCCUGAAUCAGUGUGUGUGUUAGUGGAAGCGUCUGGAAAGGCGCGCGAUACAGGGUGACAGCCCCGUACACAAAAAUACACAUAUUGUGAGCUCGAUGAGUAGGGCGGGACACGUGGUAUCCUGUCUGAAUAUGGGGGGACCAUCCUCCAAGGCUAAAUACUCCUGACUGACCGAUAGUGAACCAGUACCGUGAGGGAAAGGCGAAAAGAACCCCGGCGAGGGGAGUGAAAAAGAACCUGAAACCGUGUACGUACAAGCAGUGGGAGCACGCUUAGGCGUGUGACUGCGUACCUUUUGUAUAAUGGGUCAGCGACUUAUAUUCUGUAGCAAGGUUAACCGAAUAGGGGAGCCGAAGGGAAACCGAGUCUUAACUGGGCGUUAAGUUGCAGGGUAUAGACCCGAAACCCGGUGAUCUAGCCAUGGGCAGGUUGAAGGUUGGGUAACACUAACUGGAGGACCGAACCGACUAAUGUUGAAAAAUUAGCGGAUGACUUGUGGCUGGGGGUGAAAGGCCAAUCAAACCGGGAGAUAGCUGGUUCUCCCCGAAAGCUAUUUAGGUAGCGCCUCGUGAAUUCAUCUCCGGGGGUAGAGCACUGUUUCGGCAAGGGGGUCAUCCCGACUUACCAACCCGAUGCAAACUGCGAAUACCGGAGAAUGUUAUCACGGGAGACACACGGCGGGUGCUAACGUCCGUCGUGAAGAGGGAAACAACCCAGACCGCCAGCUAAGGUCCCAAAGUCAUGGUUAAGUGGGAAACGAUGUGGGAAGGCCCAGACAGCCAGGAUGUUGGCUUAGAAGCAGCCAUCAUUUAAAGAAAGCGUAAUAGCUCACUGGUCGAGUCGGCCUGCGCGGAAGAUGUAACGGGGCUAAACCAUGCACCGAAGCUGCGGCAGCGACACUGUGUGUUGUUGGGUAGGGGAGCGUUCUGUAAGCCUGUGAAGGUGUGCUGUGAGGCAUGCUGGAGGUAUCAGAAGUGCGAAUGCUGACAUAAGUAACGAUAAAGCGGGUGAAAAGCCCGCUCGCCGGAAGACCAAGGGUUCCUGUCCAACGUUAAUCGGGGCAGGGUGAGUCGACCCCUAAGGCGAGGCCGAAAGGCGUAGUCGAUGGGAAACAGGUUAAUAUUCCUGUACUUGGUGUUACUGCGAAGGGGGGACGGAGAAGGCUAUGUUGGCCGGGCGACGGUUGUCCCGGUUUAAGCGUGUAGGCUGGUUUUCCAGGCAAAUCCGGAAAAUCAAGGCUGAGGCGUGAUGACGAGGCACUACGGUGCUGAAGCAACAAAUGCCCUGCUUCCAGGAAAAGCCUCUAAGCAUCAGGUAACAUCAAAUCGUACCCCAAACCGACACAGGUGGUCAGGUAGAGAAUACCAAGGCGCUUGAGAGAACUCGGGUGAAGGAACUAGGCAAAAUGGUGCCGUAACUUCGGGAGAAGGCACGCUGAUACGUAGGUGAAGUCCCUCGCGGAUGGAGCUGAAAUCAGUCGAAGAUACCAGCUGGCUGCAACUGUUUAUUAAAAACACAGCACUGUGCAAACACGAAAGUGGACGUAUACGGUGUGACGCCUGCCCGGUGCCGGAAGGUUAAUUGAUGGGGUCAGCGCAAGCGAAGCUCUUGAUCGAAGCCCCGGUAAACGGCGGCCGUAACUAUAACGGUCCUAAGGUAGCGAAAUUCCUUGUCGGGUAAGUUCCGACCUGCACGAAUGGCGUAAUGAUGGCCAGGCUGUCUCCACCCGAGACUCAGUGAAAUUGAACUCGCUGUGAAGAUGCAGUGUACCCGCGGCAAGACGGAAAGACCCCGUGAACCUUUACUAUAGCUUGACACUGAACAUUGAGCCUUGAUGUGUAGGAUAGGUGGGAGGCUUGGAAGUGUGGACGCCAGUCUGCAUGGAGCCGACCUUGAAAUACCACCCUUUAAUGUUUGAUGUUCUAACGUUGACCCGUAAUCCGGGUUGCGGACAGUGUCUGGUGGGUAGUUUGACUGGGGCGGUCUCCUCCUAAAGAGUAACGGAGGAGCACGAAGGUUGGCUAAUCCUGGUCGGACAUCAGGAGGUUAGUGCAAUGGCAUAAGCCAGCUUGACUGCGAGCGUGACGGCGCGAGCAGGUGCGAAAGCAGGUCAUAGUGAUCCGGUGGUUCUGAAUGGAAGGGCCAUCGCUCAACGGAUAAAAGGUACUCCGGGGAUAACAGGCUGAUACCGCCCAAGAGUUCAUAUCGACGGCGGUGUUUGGCACCUCGAUGUCGGCUCAUCACAUCCUGGGGCUGAAGUAGGUCCCAAGGGUAUGGCUGUUCGCCAUUUAAAGUGGUACGCGAGCUGGGUUUAGAACGUCGUGAGACAGUUCGGUCCCUAUCUGCCGUGGGCGCUGGAGAACUGAGGGGGGCUGCUCCUAGUACGAGAGGACCGGAGUGGACGCAUCACUGGUGUUCGGGUUGUCAUGCCAAUGGCACUGCCCGGUAGCUAAAUGCGGAAGAGAUAAGUGCUGAAAGCAUCUAAGCACGAAACUUGCCCCGAGAUGAGUUCUCCCUGACUCCUUGAGAGUCCUGAAGGAACGUUGAAGACGACGACGUUGAUAGGCCGGGUGUGUAAGCGCAGCGAUGCGUUGAGCUAACCGGUACUAAUGAACCGUGAGGCUUAACCUUACAACGCCGAAG